This 374-nucleotide ribosomal RNA is filed under the name uncultured beta proteobacterium. RNAcentral's name for it is "partial 16S ribosomal RNA". The record is from RNAcentral. Lineage: Bacteria; Pseudomonadati; Pseudomonadota; Betaproteobacteria.
GAGUUUGAUCCUGGCUCAGAUUGAACGCUGGCGGCAUGCCUUACACAUGCAAGUCGAACGGCAGCAUGAUCUAGCUUGCUAGAUUGAUGGCGAGUGGCGAACGGGUGAGUAAUACAUCGGAACGUGCCCUGUAGUGGGGGAUAACUAGUCGAAAGAUUAGCUAAUACCGCAUACGACCUGAGGGUGAAAGUGGGGGACCGCAAGGYCUCAUGCUAUAKGAGCGGCCGAUGUCUGAUUAGCUAGUUGGUGGGGUAAAGGCCCAYCMAKGCGACGAUCAKUAGCUGGUCUGAGAGGACGAUCAGCCWCACUGGGACUGACACACGGCCCAKACUCCUACGGGAGGCAKCAGUGGYGAAUUUUGGACAAUGGGCGAA